AUGUUGAUUUGUGUUGUUUUUUUCCCCAGGACGGAACUUCUUAUUGUUGUUAUUCAUAAACAUUGUUGGUUUCCAGAAUGGUUUAGAAGUCAAAAUAUAGUUCCAUACUGUAUCUUGCAAUAUUCUUUAUUAAAUAAAGCCUUGAUUAUUUCUUUUAUCAUAGCUUCUAAUGAAAUACAUCCACUUCCUUCUGGAACCAGAAUCUUUGAUGCUCCAAAAAGUCCAUUGACAGAACUUGCUACUCAGAGUCCAACCUUGAAAUCUGUAUCUCUACCUUCAGCAGAUAACAGAGAGAUGGAGAUAGCUUUUGAUGAAAUGCAGCCUAUUUCGUCAAGAUCCAAACCAUCUGGUACCACAGAAGUGCAACCCACAAAAUCUGCUUCAAAUGGCUUUCUUCAUGUUACUUCUACCCCUCAAACUUUUACAGCUUCAGAAGUGACAGACUCUGGUAAAUGACACUAAUAUUAUUUUAGAAGCAUAAUCUUUUUUGUGUAUUUUUUUGUGCUGAAAGUUAUUAGUGAUUUUAGAUAGUUAUUCUAUACUACCUGCGUUGGAUGUUGCAGUAUGUGUUAAUUAUUCAAAUCGUAUAACAGUGUCUUAAUUUCUGGGACCAAGCACAACCCAGAUGAAAAGCAAGACUGCAACUAGCACUCAGCUGAAUAGAGCAGUAUUGAUCUAAUAAAUUCAUCAAAAGAUAUAAAUUUUGUAAGGUG
Molecule: long non-coding RNA, 713 nt
Filed under: Coturnix japonica (Japanese quail)
Lineage: Eukaryota; Metazoa; Chordata; Aves; Galliformes; Phasianidae
Description: lncRNA (ENSCJPG00005017599.1)
Source: RNAcentral